Molecule: non-coding RNA, 1079 nt
Organism: Sus scrofa (pig)
Lineage: Eukaryota; Metazoa; Chordata; Mammalia; Artiodactyla; Suidae
Source: RefSeq, a predicted model, not a curated record
UCAGUAGCCAGAGCCUCAGCAGUGACAUCAGAUCCUUAACCCCCUGAGCCACCAGGGAUCUCCCAAGGUUUGUGUCUUGAAAGUUAACUCCUAACAGAUGAUGAACACAAAUCUUCCUCUGAGUCCUCCCACAGCCCUGGAAGGGGAUGCUGGUACCACAUUUUAUAAAUGAGGAAUCUGAGGCUCAACUGUCACAACCUGAGUUUCGGGAGCUCCAGUUCAGCCCAAGCUGCUCCCUCCACUUAAAAUACUUAAAAUCCUUUCUCGGAAGUCCCUGUUGUGGCUCAUCAGGCUAAGGACCCAAUGCUGUCUCCGUGAAGAUUCGGCGUCGAUCCCUGGCUUUGCUCAGUGGCUCAAGGAUUAGGUGUGGCUUCAAGCCGCAGCAUAGUUUGCAGAUGCGGCUCUAAUUUGACCCCUGGUCCAAGAACUUUCAUAUGCCGCAGGUAUGGCCAUAAAAAGGAAAAAAUUAAUAAAUAAAUAAAAUCCAUUUCACCUCUUCCCUCUCCUCCUCCAAGCCUUCCCUUCAGCUGCCCAGAGAGCCACAGAAGUGCCUGCCUCUGCCAUACAUAUGGGACAGGGAAAGGGGACAAGUCAGGAAAGAAAGAAGCACCUCCAGGCUCUGGGAGGUGAUCCUGGCUCCCCACUGCCCGGGCCAGGCUCAUCCAAGAUCUUCCAAGGCUUUUGCAUGCUGCACACUUUGUUUGAUGAAAUCCCCAAGAAAGCCAGUUUGGCAUCAGGCUCUCUGAGCCCAAGGCCUGGCUGGAUGCCACGGGAAGCCCCACCUGGAUCUUGCAAAGCACAGUUGGUUUUCAGCCUGCCCCCUCUUGGGGGGAGGGUACUUGGAAAAACCCUUCUGCUGAAGGUGACUGCGUUCUGUCCCCAAAGGAGAGUCCAGCCCCUGCAGCCUUGGGGUGGCUUCUCCCUGACCCCAGGGAGACUCCUGUGAGUGCCUUGUCUGAAACCCCAAUGUCUGGAACCCCAGGCCAGGCAAGGGUCUGCCAGACUUUGCUGAGGGCUGGGCCCUGGGAAACCCCAAACUUGACACCCCAGGAAGCAAAUAAAACACUUGAAAUGUGCAA